AGCUGGGGGAAGAGAGGGGGGCUGUGUGCAGAUGGCUCUUCAACCUGGAAAGGAGGAUGGCGGCAUCUGAAGGCGGGAAAGACACCACCCCAGAGCCCAGUCCAGCCAACGGGACAGGCCCUGGGCCCGAAUGGGGGCUGUGCCCUGGGCCCCCAGCAUCAGGUGGCGAAAUCGGCGGGGCAUCCAGCCUGGGGACCCCUAAGCGAAGAACUCAGCACAGUAAGCACAAGACAGUGGCAGUGGCCAGUGCCCAGCGCUCACCCCGGGCACUCUUCUGCCUCACCCUGGCAAACCCCCUGCGGCGGUCCUGCAUCAGCAUCGUGGAAUGGAAGCCCUUCGACAUCCUCAUCCUGCUGACCAUCUUUGCCAACUGCGUGGCCCUUGGGGUCUACAUCCCCUUCCCAGAGGAUGACUCCAACACUGCCAACCACAACCUGGAGCAGGUGGAGUACGUAUUCUUGGUGAUUUUCACUGUGGAGACCAUGCUCAAGAUCGUGGCCUACGGGCUGGUGCUCCACCCCAGCGCCUACAUCCGCAAUGGCUGGAACCUGCUCGACUUCAUCAUCGUCGUGGUCGGGCUGUUCAGCGUGCUGCUGGAGCAGGGGCCCGGACGCCCGGGGGACGCCCCGCAUACCGGAGGGAAGCCGGGUGGCUUCGAUGUGAAGGCGUUGCGGGCGUUUCGGGUGCUGAGGCCACUGAGGCUGGUGUCCGGGGUCCCGAGCCUGCACAUAGUGCUCAAUUCCAUCAUGAAGGCGCUGGUGCCGCUGCUGCAUAUCGCACUUCUCGUGCUCUUUGUCAUCAUCAUUUACGCCAUCAUCGGACUCGAGCUGUUCCUCGGACGCAUGCACAAAACGUGCUACUUCCUGGGAUCAGACGUAGAGGCGGAGGAGGACCCAUCGCCCUGUGCGUCAUCGGGAUUGGGGCGUGCUUGUACGCUAAACCAGACCGAGUGCCGCGGACGCUGGGCAGGUCCCAACGGAGGCAUCACCAACUUCGACAAUUUCUUCUUCGCCAUGCUGACAGUCUUCCAGUGCAUCACCAUGGAAGGCUGGACUGACGUGCUCUACUGGAUGCAGGAUGCCAUGGGGUAUGAGCUGCCCUGGGUGUAUUUCGUGAGUCUUGUCAUCUUUGGAUCCUUCUUCAUCCUCAACCUUGUACUUGGUGUCCUGAGUGGAGAGUUCUCCAAGGAGAGGGAGAAGGCAAAAGCGCGAGGGGACUUCCAGAAGCUUCGAGAGAAGCAGCAGCUGGAGGAGGACCUGCGGGGCUACCUGGACUGGAUCACACAGGCGGAGGAGCUGGACAUGGAGGACCCCUCAGCUGAUGGCAACUUUGGUUCUGUGGCUCAAGAGGGCCAGGCCAGCCACCGGCCGCAACUGGCAGAGCUGACCAAUAGGAGACGAGGACGUCUGCACUGGUUCAGUCACUCCACCCACUCCACACACUCCACCAGCAGCCACGCCAGCCUCCCAGCCAGUGACACCUGUUCGAUGGCAGAGACCCCAGGCGAUGAGGAAGAGGAAGAGGGGGCUCUGGCCAGCUGUACACGCUGCCUAAACAAGAUCAUGAGAACCAGUGUCUGCCGCUGCCUCCGCCGAGCCAACCGGGGCCUUCGGGCGCGCUGCCGGCGGGCUGUGAAGUCCAAUGCCUGCUACUGGGCCGUGCUGCUGCUCGUCUUCCUCAACACGCUGACCAUCGCCUCGGAGCACCACGGGCAACCCAUCUGGCUCACCCAGAUCCAGGAGUAUGCCAACAAAGUGUUGCUCUGUCUGUUCACGGUGGAGAUGCUUCUCAAGUUAUAUGGUCUGGGGCCCUCUGUCUACGUCUCCUCCUUCUUCAACCGCUUUGACUGCUUCGUGGUCUGUGGGGGCAUCCUGGAGACCACCCUGGUGGAGGUGGGCGCCAUGCAGCCCCUGGGCAUCUCGGUGCUCCGCUGUGUGCGUCUCCUCAGGAUUUUUAAGGUCACCAGGCACUGGGCAUCUCUGAGCAAUUUAGUGGCGUCCCUGCUCAAUUCAAUGAAAUCCAUUGCAUCCUUGCUGCUUCUCCUCUUCCUCUUUAUCAUCAUCUUCUCCCUGCUUGGCAUGCAGCUGUUUGGGGGCAAGUUCAACUUUGACCAGACACACACCAAGCGAAGCACCUUUGACACCUUCCCCCAGGCCCUCCUCACUGUCUUUCAGAUCCUGACAGGUGAGGACUGGAAUGUGGUCAUGUAUGAUGGUAUCAUGGCCUAUGGCGGCCCCUUCUUCCCAGGGAUGCUGGUAUGCGUGUACUUCAUCAUCCUCUUCAUCUGCGGCAACUACAUCCUGUUGAACGUUUUUCUUGCCAUUGCUGUGGACAACCUGGCCAGUGGAGAUGCAGGCACUGACAAGGACAAGGACAGGGAGAAGAACACUGAGGAAACUCCACAGGAGAAUGGAGCACUGGUGCCUGGUGGGGAGAAUGAGGAAGAGGAAGGUGCAAAAAAUGAAGGAGCAGGCAUGGAGGAAGAGGAGGAGGAGGAGGAGGAGGAAGAGGAGGAGGAGGAAGGGGGUGCAGGGCAUGUGGAACUCCUGCAGGAAGUUGUACCCAAGGAGAAGGUGGUACCCAUCCCUGAGGGCAGCGCCUUCUUCUGCCUCAGCCAAACCAACCCGCUGAGGAAGGCCUGCCACACCCUCAUCCACCAUCACGUCUUCACCAAUCUUAUCCUGGUGUUCAUCAUCCUCAGCAGUGUGUCCCUGGCAGCUGAGGACCCCAUCCGAGCCCAGUCUUUCCGCAACCAUAUUCUGGGGUACUUCGAUUAUGCCUUCACCUCCAUUUUCACUGUGGAGAUUCUACUAAAGAUGACAGUGUUCGGGGCUUUCCUGCACCGUGGCUCCUUCUGCCGUAGCUGGUUCAAUCUGUUGGAUCUGCUGGUGGUCAGCGUGUCCCUCAUCUCCUUUGGCAUCCACUCCAGUGCCAUCUCGGUGGUGAAGAUUCUUCGAGUUCUCCGAGUACUACGGCCCCUCCGAGCCAUCAACAGGGCCAAAGGACUCAAGCACGUGGUGCAGUGUGUGUUCGUGGCCAUCCGGACCAUCGGGAAUAUCAUGAUUGUGACCACGCUCCUGCAAUUCAUGUUCGCCUGCAUUGGCGUGCAGCUCUUCAAGGGGAAAUUCUACAGUUGCACUGAUGAGGCCAAACACACACCCCAAGAAUGCAAGGGCUCCUUCCUGGUCUACCCCGAUGGAGAUGUGUCAAGGCCCCUGGUCCGGGAGCGGCUCUGGGUCAACAGUGAUUUCAACUUUGACAAUGUCCUUUCAGCCAUGAUGGCCCUGUUCACUGUCUCCACCUUCGAAGGCUGGCCUGCGCUGCUAUAUAAGGCCAUCGAUGCAAACGCAGAGAACAAGGGCCCCAUCUAUAAUUACCACGUGGAGAUCUCAGUGUUCUUCAUUGUCUACAUCAUCAUCAUUGCAUUCUUCAUGAUGAACAUCUUUGUGGGCUUCGUCAUCAUCACCUUCCGUGCCCAGGGCGAGCAGGAGUACCAAGACUGUGAGCUGGACAAGAACCAGCGCCAGUGUGUGGAGUAUGCCCUCAAGGCCCAGCCACUCCGCCGCUAUAUCCCCAAGAACCCGAAUCAGUAUCGGGUGUGGGCCACUGUGAACUCUGCUGCCUUCGAGUAUCUCAUGUUCCUGCUCAUCCUGCUCAACACGGUUGCUCUAGCCAUGCAGCACUAUGAGCAGACUGCUCCCUUCAACUAUGUCAUGGACAUCCUCAACAUGGUUUUCACUGGUCUCUUCACUGUUGAGAUGGUGCUCAAAAUCAUCGCCUUCAAACCCAAGCAUUACUUUACCGAUGCCUGGAACACGUUUGAUGCUCUUAUUGUGGUGGGCAGCGUAGUGGACAUUGCCGUCACUGAAGUCAACAAUGGUGGCCAUCUUGGCGAGAGCUCUGAGGACAGUUCCCACAUUUCGAUCACUUUCUUUCGCCUCUUCCGAGUCAUGCGGCUGGUCAAGCUUCUCAGUAAGGGUGAAGGGAUUCGCACAUUACUCUGGACAUUCAUCAAGUCCUUCCAGGCCUUGCCCUAUGUGGCUCUUCUCAUCGCAAUGAUAUUCUUCAUUUACGCAGUCAUUGGGAUGCAGAUUUUCGGCAAGGUGGCUCUUCAGGAUGGCACACAGAUCAACCGAAACAACAACUUCCAGACCUUUCCACAGGCUGUGCUGCUUUUGUUCAGGUGUGCUACUGGUGAGGCAUGGCAGGAGAUAAUGCUUGCCAGCCUUCCUGGGAGCCGGUGUGACCCUGAGUCUGACUUCGGCCCUGGUGAGGAGUUUAGCUGUGGUAGCAAUUUUGCCAUAGCCUAUUUUAUCAGCUUCUUCAUGCUCUGUGCAUUCCUGAUCAUAAAUCUCUUUGUGGCUGUGAUCAUGGACAACUUUGAUUAUCUGACCAGAGAUUGGUCCAUCCUGGGCCCCCAUCACCUCGAUGAAUUCAAGAGGAUCUGGUCUGAAUAUGACCCUGGGGCCAAAGGCCGCAUCAAGCACCUGGAUGUGGUUGCCCUGCUGAGACGCAUCCAGCCACCCCUGGGAUUCGGGAAGCUGUGCCCACACCGAGUGGCCUGCAAGAGACUUGUGGCGAUGAACAUGCCUCUCAACUCAGAUGGGACAGUGACAUUCAAUGCCACACUCUUUGCCCUCGUUCGGACAUCCCUGAAGAUCAAGACAGAAGGGAACCUGGAGCAAGCCAAUCAGGAGCUGCGGAUUGUCAUCAAAAAGAUCUGGAAGCGGGUGAAGCAGAAGCUGCUAGAUGAGGUCAUCCCCCCAGCUGACGAGGAAGAAGUUACCGUGGGCAAAUUCUACGCCACAUUUCUGAUCCAGGACUAUUUCCGCAAAUUCCGGCGGAGGAAAGAAAAGGGGCUACUAGGGGCCGAGGCCCCCCCAAGCACCUCCUCUGCCCUUCAGGCUGGUCUGAGGAGCCUGCAAGACUUGGGUCCUGAGAUGCGGCAGGCCCUCACCUGUGACACAGAUGAGGAGGAGGAGGAAGAGGGACAGGAGGGAGAGGAGGAGGAAGAUGAGAAGGACCCGGAAACGUACAAAGCCCCAAUGGGCUCCCAGCCCCCAUCUCGCCGGAGCUCUGUGGUUUCUGUGUCUCUGCCUGCCUGGGACAAACCACCAGAUUCACUUUCCCUUGGGCCCAGUGACGACGAUGGGGGUGCUCCCAACUCCAGACAGUCCAGUGUGCCCCAAGCUGGGUCCCACGCCCACAGGAGAAGCUCUGGGGUUCUCAUUUUCACCAUUCCGGAAGAAGGAAGUUCUCAGUCCAAGGCAACCAAAGGGCAAGAGAAGCAGGAUGAACAAGAGGAAGUCCCCAGCUCUCCUACCUAGAUGAGCAGGCAGGGACUCCCCCACUCCCCAUCCUCUUGCCACCUCACAGAGCCCAGAGAUAUGUGGAUGGCCACCAAGCACCACGCCGCCGUCUGCUGCCCCCAACGCCUGCAGGCCGGAAGCCUUCCUUCACCAUCCAGUGUCUGUGGCGCCAGGGCAGUUGUGAAGAUUUACCCAUCCCAGGCACCUAUCAUCGUGGGCGCAACUCAGGGCCCAGCAGGGCACAGGGUUCCUGGGCAACCCCUCCUCAGCGGGGCCGGCUCCUAUACGCCCCACUGCUGUUGGUGGAGGAGGGUGCAGCAGGGGACGGAUACCUCGGCAAAUCCAGCAAUCCACUGCGCACCUUCACCUGUCUGCACAUGCCUGGAACCCACUCAGACCCCAGCUAUGGCAAAAGGGGCAGUGCUGACAGCCUGGUGGAGGCUGUGCUCAUCUCCGAGGGCCUGGGCCUGUUUGCCCGAGACCCGCGCUUCGUGGCCCUGGCCAAGCGGGAGAUUGCAGAUGCAUGUCGUCUGACACUGGACGAGAUGGACAGUGCCGCCAGUGACCUGCUGGCACAGGGGACCAGCUCACUUUAUAGUGACGAGGAGUCCAUCCUCUCCCGCUUUGAUGAGGAGGACCUGGGAGACGAGAUGGCCUGCGUCCAUGCCCUCUGAAUUCCCAUCCCUCCCCCACUGCUCAAUAAACCUCCUGCCCUCCCUUCCUCAGAAGGAGACCGGCAUGGACCACA
Molecule: RNA transcript, 6057 nt
Organism: Lipotes vexillifer (Yangtze River dolphin)
Lineage: Eukaryota; Metazoa; Chordata; Mammalia; Artiodactyla; Lipotidae
Gene: CACNA1F
Gene name: calcium voltage-gated channel subunit alpha1 F
Exons: 48
Source: RefSeq, a predicted model, not a curated record